RNAcentral lists this ribosomal RNA (492 nucleotides) under uncultured bacterium. RNAcentral describes it as "partial 16S ribosomal RNA". It matches the Rfam family "Bacterial small subunit ribosomal RNA", at positions 29 to 507 of the family's 1533-position model. The record is from RNAcentral.
AGUGAACGCUGGCGGUAGGCCUAGCACAUGCAAGUCGAACGGCAGCACAGUAAGAGCUUGCUCUUACGGGUGGCGAGUGGCGGACGGGUGAGGAAUACAUCGGAAUCUACUUUUUCGUGGGGGAUAACGUAGGGAAACUUACGCUAAUACCGCAUACGACCUACGGGUGAAAGCAGGGGAUCUUCGGACCUUGCGCGAUUGAAUGAGUCGAUGUCGGAUUAGCUAGUUGGCGGGGUAAAGGCCCACCAAGGCGACGAUCCGUAGCUGGUCUGAGAGGAUGAUCAGCCACACUGGAACUGAGACACGGUCCAGACUCCUACGGGAGGCAGCAGUGGGGAAUAUUGGACAAUGGGCGCAAGCCUGAUCCAGCCAUACCGCGUGGGUGAAGAAGGCCUUCGGGUUGUAAAGCCCUUUUGUUGGGAAAGAAAAGCAGCAGGUUAAUACCCCGCUGUUCUGACGUUACCCAAAGAAUAAGCACCGGCUAACUUCGUG